GAAGAACAAUAAGAAGAAGGGGACUUUCCCUAAAGCACUUAAGCCUACUGGGGGCAUUAAAAAGGACAAAGGUACUUGCCAUCACUGUGGCAAAGAAGGUCACUGGAGGAGGAACUGUGCUGAUUAUCUUGCUGCACUGAAGGAGAAGAAGCUUAAUGAAGCUUCUACUUCAGGAACUAAGAAGACCUAGACCUUUACAGAAAGGUGAAAUGGACCUACGGGUUGGAAAUGGAGCAAGGGUUGCUGCUUUAGCCGUAGGAACAUGUAUUUUGUCUCUGCCUACGGGCCUUUUGCUUGAACUUGAUAACUGUUAUUUUGUUCCAGUACUAACUAGAAAUAUCAUAUCUGUAUCUUGCCUAGCACUGAAUGGUUUUAAAUUUAUUAUUGAAGGCAAAUGUUGUUCCUUUUAUAAUAAUGAUAUUUUCUAUGGA
Long non-coding RNA from Hevea brasiliensis (rubber tree), 431 nucleotides. RefSeq lists it as uncharacterized. The transcript is spliced from 2 exons. The record is from RefSeq and is a predicted model, not a curated record. NCBI's taxonomy places the organism in Eukaryota, Viridiplantae, Streptophyta, Magnoliopsida, Malpighiales, Euphorbiaceae.